RNAcentral lists this ribosomal RNA (502 nucleotides) under uncultured bacterium. RNAcentral's name for it is "partial 16S ribosomal RNA". It matches the Rfam family "Bacterial small subunit ribosomal RNA", at positions 29 to 525 of the family's 1533-position model. The record is from RNAcentral.
AUUGAACGCUGGCGGCAGGCCUAACACAUGCCAGUCGAGCGGAUGAAGGGAGCUUGCUCCUGGAUUCAGCGGCGGACGGGUGAGUAAUGCCUAGGAAUCUGCCUGGUAGUGGGGGAUAACGUCCGGAAACGGGCGCUAAUACCGCAUACGUCCUGAGGGAGAAAGUGGGGGAUCUUCGGACCUCACGCUAUCAGAUGAGCCUAGGUCGGAUUAGCUAGUUGGUGGGGUAAAGGCCUACCAAGGCGACGAUCCGUAACUGGUCUGAGAGGAUGAUCAGUCAGAGGGGAAUGGGAACACGGUGAAAACGACGAGGGAGCGCGGGAGGGGUGAAUAGGGUGGACGGGGGGAAAGGGGGAUCGGGCCGGGGGGCGUGUGUGAAGGAGGUUUGGGGAUGGUAAAGGAUUUUAAGUGGGGAGGAAGGGAAGUAAGUUAAUUCCUUGGUGUUUUGGCGUUACAAAGAGAAUAAGCACCGGCAAACUUCGUGCCAGCGGGCGCGGUAAUA